GAGAGAAACGAAUUCUGGUGCCAUCUUACUUUACAGCAUUAGAUUUGUACGAACAUUUUCUAAUACUGUCAGGUAAAGAUGUCCACAAAGUUCGUGAA
Molecule: microRNA precursor, 98 nt
Filed under: Lottia gigantea (owl limpet)
Lineage: Eukaryota; Metazoa; Mollusca; Gastropoda; Lottiidae
Description: microRNA lgi-mir-8 precursor
Gene: lgi-mir-8
Rfam family: mir-8/mir-141/mir-200 microRNA precursor family (bases 17-86)
About the family: The bounds of the precursors are predicted based on conservation and base pairing and are not generally known.
Source: miRBase by way of RNAcentral